RNAcentral lists this long non-coding RNA (1211 nucleotides) under Zea mays. Its description in RNAcentral is "long non-coding RNA (ZMAY_LNC004492)". Lineage: Eukaryota; Viridiplantae; Streptophyta; Magnoliopsida; Poales; Poaceae. The record is from RNAcentral.
UUCAGAUGACACGUGUCCUCACUGCUAAACGUAGCAAUACAGACAAACAUGGUAUAUGCAAAAUUAACAUCACACCAAACAUAAGAAUAAAUCAAAUAAUAAUAAUCUACACGUUGCCACGGGACUGACGCAACUUGAACGGAUCAAAUCGGAGUUAAAACGGAGGAGUUAUGAUUUUCUGAAUAUUCUAUGUGUUUUGUACAAGAUAAAAUAGGGUAUAAAUUUUAAUGUGACUUUUAUGUCAAAACAGUGGCACUAAAUGAUAAACAAUAAUAUUACAAAAUUAUAGGAACUUGAAUGGACUAAAAAGGAGCUAGAAUGGAUUUUCUAUGAUUUAAACAAGUUUCUGCAAUUAUUUUAUAUUGGAAAUCACUUUUUUUAAAUGGAUUGCUCAAUUUCCUUAAAGGUCUGGUCUGCGCGUAAUAUUAACAAAAUGUCUAGGGACUAAAAUAGAAAUAUUCCUAAGACUCGGAUCCCCAGCUGCUAGGACUGCGGGUUCAUUUGUAUUAAUCCGAGGGACUCAUAUGCUAAAUCUCACCGCGAAGGGGUACGCAGAGACCUUGGCCGUUGGAUGUUGUUCCGACCGCCGAGAUUAGACGCUGAUAUUAUAAACCGUUAUGUGAUAUUGACCGUUGGAUCUAACAUCCACGGAUGAGAAGCGAUCCCGCCCCGAUCAAUCCUCCUCCGUCCGAUACCGCGCCAACGUUCCAGAUCUCGCUAUCGAACCGUUAUCCAGGGAUCUAAUCUAGACCAUACGCGUAGAGAUCAACGCGCCAGAUCGAUUCACUCAAAACGUUAAUCCUAUCCAUUCAUUGAAGAUCUGACGGUCGCCAGCCCUUUCUUCCCCACGGCAAUCUGCAAGCGGCGGCGCCGCCACGCCCGCCCGAUGGAGCAUCACCGGCGAGACCCCCCCCCAGCCAUACCAACGGCCAAACCCCACAUACAACGGUGCUACACGAUGAGGACGACGAGGCGAACCAUAUAGGGUAGCGACUUACCAGAAUUCGUAGCAAGAGCUCCCUGGUCGCGGUGGAAUGCGGACAGCGGCGCUCUUCCCAUUCCGGUGAGAAAUUCCUCGAGCUCCGACCGGCCGUUCAUCAAAUUGGCGGUCGAGCUAGCUUUCCUGUGUCCAGUCGAAGCACCGCAGCGACCGGUGAGGACGAAUCCGAGGUUCUGGGCGCGGCGCGACUGCAGCUCAACGCAGCCACCCG